GAUGAACGCUAGCGGCAGGCCUAAUACAUGCAAGUCGAACGAGAUUAAGAGGCUUGCUUCUUAUGAAAGUGGCGCACGGGUGCGUAACGCGUAUGCAACCUACCUUAAUCAGGGGGAUAGCCCGAAGAAAUUCGGAUUAAGACCGCAUAAAAACACAGGAUAGCAUUAUCCAAUGUUCAAAUAUUUAUAGGAUUAAGAUGGGCAUGCGUGUCAUUAGCUAGUUGGCGGGGUAACGGCCCACCAAGGCGACGAUGACUAGGGGAUCUGAGAGGAUGACCCCCCACACUGGUACUGAGACACGGACCAGACUCCUACGGGAGGCAGCAGAAAGGAAUAUUGGUCAAUGGAGGGAACUCUGAACCAGCCAUGCCGCGUGCAGGAAGACAGCCCUCUGGGUCGUAAACUGCUUUUAUUCGGGAAUAAACCUUUCUACGUGUAGGAAGCUGAAUGUACCGAAGGAAUAAGGAUCGGCUAACUCCGUG
Molecule: ribosomal RNA, 482 nt
Filed under: uncultured bacterium
Lineage: Bacteria
Description: partial 16S ribosomal RNA
Rfam family: Bacterial small subunit ribosomal RNA
Source: RNAcentral